CUGGAGGUAUCAGAAGUGCGAAUGCUGACAUAAGUAACGAUAAAGCGGGUGAAAAGCCCGCUCGCCGGAAGACCAAGGGUUCCUGUCCAACGUUAAUCGGGGCAGGGUGAGUCGACCCCUAAGGCGAGGCCGAAAGGCGUAGUCGAUGGGAAACGGGUUAAUAUUCCCGUACUUGGUGUUACUGCGAAGGGGGGACGGAGAAGGCUAUGUUGGCCGGGCGACGGUUGUCCCGGUUUAAGCGUGUAGGUGUGUGUUCCAGGUAAAUCCGGUUCACUUUAACACUGAGGCGUGACGACGAGGCACUACGGUGCUGAAGCAACAAAUGCCCUGCUUCCAGGAAAAGCCUCUAAGCAUCAGGUAACAUCAAAUCGUACCCCAAACCGACACAGGUGGUCAGGUAGAGAAUACCAAGGCGCUUGAGAGAACUCGGGUGAAGGAACUAGGCAAAAUGGUGCCGUAACUUCGGGAGAAGGCACGCUGACACGUAGG
This 489-nucleotide ribosomal RNA is filed under the name Salmonella enterica. Its description in RNAcentral is "partial 23S ribosomal RNA". It matches the Rfam family "Bacterial large subunit ribosomal RNA", at positions 1273 to 1762 of the family's 2925-position model. The record is from RNAcentral. Lineage: Bacteria; Pseudomonadati; Pseudomonadota; Gammaproteobacteria; Enterobacterales; Enterobacteriaceae.